This 1397-nucleotide unclassified non-coding RNA is filed under the name Hevea brasiliensis (rubber tree). Lineage: Eukaryota; Viridiplantae; Streptophyta; Magnoliopsida; Malpighiales; Euphorbiaceae. The record is from RNAcentral.
CGGCGGACUCGUAUAAGAAAGCGGUGGACUCAGCAAUUCAGAAACUCAGAAGCCAAGAAGGAAAUCACAAUGAAGACACCGACGAUGCAGCUGAAACGCCGUCAACUCCAAAAACACCAAUAGAGCUGGCGAUUGAUUUCAUUCUUCAUGAUUUUGAAAUGGCAGAAGUUGAGCCAAUAUCAACCUAUGUAGAUUUUGGUGAAAGAGAAUUUCUGGUUGCUGAUGAAAGAGGAUAUGAACAUUUGCUUUAUAAAAUGGCAGAAAAUUUUCUUUUCACCUGUGAGGGUAAAAUUAUGGACAGUCGACUCAAGCUCAAUACGGUUGUUCGGGAAGUGCAGCACUCGAGAAACGGCGUCUUGGUGACAACAGAAGAUGGUUCCCUUUACGAAGCCAAUUAUGUCAUUUUGUCUGUUAGCAUUGGCGUUCUCCAAAGCGACCUCAUUUCAUUCUCACCCUCUUUACCGAGAUGGAAGAUGGAAGCCGUCAGAAACUUGGACGUGAUGGUUUAUACAAAGAUCUUUCUCAAGUUCCCUAACAAGUUCUGGCCUUGUGAACCUGAAAAGGAGUUCUUCAUCUAUGCUCACGAGCGAAGAGGCUACUAUACGUUCUGGCAGCACAUGGAAAAUGCUUAUCCGGGAUCCAAUAUGCUGGUGGUAACCCUGACAAAUGGUGAGUCAAAACGUGUGGAAGCUCAAUCUGAUCAAGACACAUUAAGAGAAGCAAUGGAAGUGUUAAGAAACAUGUUUGGGCCCGACAUUCCUGAUGCCACCGACAUAUUAGUCCCACGUUGGUGGAAUAACCGGUUCCAGCGUGGUAGCUACAGUAAUUACCCCAUAUAUGCAAAUCAUCAACUCGUCCAUGAUAUUAAGGAACCAGUGGGGCGGAUAUUUUUCACAGGAGAACACACAAGUGAAAAAUUUAGUGGCUAUGUCCAUGGAGGUUACCUUUCAGGUAUAGACACUAGCAACGCUUUACUUGAGAAAAUGCGAAGGGAUGAUGGAAGGAAGAAUGAGAGUCAAGCGUUUCUGUUAGAACCAUUGCUAGCAUUAACAGGCUCUUUGACACUGACACAAGCUGAGACUGUAUCAAGUCUCCACAAAUGUGAUAUUCCGCGACAACUCUUCCUUAGUAACAGCAAAUUGGGACUUCCAGAGGCUAUCUUAUGAGACUAAGUGAACCUCUGCUGGAUAAAAUUUACGCUGACAUAUGUUGCUAUCCAUCCAACCACGGAUAAACUCGAUUUGCUGGAGGUCUGACAAAAAGACGGUACGAGUCCUUUGUUCUAUUAACAGAAAAAAGGAGCAAAGAAACUUGAGAGAAGGAUAUAGGGUAGUUUCCAGGAUAUUCAUUCUGAAAUUCUUCAUUGCAGAUACAUACAAUUGUUAUUAGGAGUAAAG